RNAcentral lists this unclassified non-coding RNA (220 nucleotides) under plant metagenome. RNAcentral describes it as "partial contains small subunit ribosomal RNA, internal transcribed spacer 1, and 5.8S ribosomal RNA". The record is from RNAcentral.
UUUCCGUAGGUGAACCUGCGGAAGGAUCAUUACAGAGUUCAUGCCCUCACGGGUAGAUCUCCCACCCUUGAAUAUUUAUACCUUAGUUGCUUUGGCAGGCCGUGGAAACACCAUGGGCUCCGGCUUAUGCGUGCCUGCCAGAGGAAACAAACUCUGUUUUUGGUGAUGUCUGAGUACUAUAUAAUAGUUAAAACUUUCAACAACGGAUCUCUUGGUUCUG